GUCCACGCCGUAAACGAUGUCAACUAGCCGUUGGCUCUCUUUGAGAGUUAGUGGCGCAGCUAACGCAUUAAGUUGACCGCCUGGGGAGUACGGCCGCAAGGUUAAAACUCAAAUGAAUUGACGGGGGCCCCGCACAAGCGGUGGAGCAUGUGGUUUAAUUCGAUGCAACGCGAAGAACCUUACCUACCCUUGACAUCCUAAGAAUUCGCUAGAGAUAGCUUAGUGCCUUCGGGAGCUUAGAGACAGGUGCUGCAUGGCUGUCGU
This 264-nucleotide ribosomal RNA is filed under the name uncultured bacterium. RNAcentral's name for it is "partial 16S ribosomal RNA". It matches the Rfam family "Bacterial small subunit ribosomal RNA", at positions 793 to 1055 of the family's 1533-position model. The record is from RNAcentral.